RNAcentral lists this ribosomal RNA (758 nucleotides) under uncultured bacterium. RNAcentral's name for it is "bacterial SSU rRNA". It matches the Rfam family "Bacterial small subunit ribosomal RNA", at positions 44 to 845 of the family's 1533-position model. The record is from RNAcentral.
ANCGCUNCUACACAUGCAAGUCGAACGGUCCUUCGGGAUAGUGGCGGACGGGUGAGUAACACGUGGGAACGUACCCUUAGGUUCGGAACAACACAGGGAAACUUGUGCUAAUACCGGAUAAGCCCUUCGGGGGAAAGAUUUAUCGCCUUUGGAGCGGCCCGCGUCUGAUUAGCUUGUUGGUGAGGUAAUGGCUCACCAAGGCUACGAUCAGUAGCUGGUCUGAGAGGAUGGCCAGCCACACUGGGACUGAGACACGGCCCAGACUCCUACGGGAGGCAGCAGUGGGGAAUCUUGCGCAAUGGGCGAAAGCCUGACGCAGCCAUGCCGCGUGGAUGAUGAAGGUCUUAGGAUUGUAAAAUCCUUUCACCGGGGACGAUAAUGACGGUACCCGGAGAAGAAGCCCCGGCUAACUUCGUGCCAGCAGCCGCGGUAAUACGAAGGGGGCUAGCGUUGCUCGGAAUUACUGGGCGUAAAGGGCGCGUAGGCGGACAGUUAAGUUGGGGGUGAAAGCCCGGGGCUCAACCUCGGAAAUGCCUUCAAUACUGGCUGUCUUGAGUACGGGAGAGGUGAGUGGAACUCCGAGUGUAGAGGUGAAAUUCGUAGAUAUUCGGAAGAACCACCCCAGUGGCGAAGGCGACUCACUGGCCCGUUANCUGACGCUGARGCGCGAAAGCGUGGGGAGCAAACANGAUUAGAUACCCUGGUAGCCCACGCCNUAAACGAUGAAUGCUANUUGUCNGCAUGCAUGCAUGUCNGUG